GUGUUCAAUAUAUAUUUAAUUUUAAAAUCACGAAACUAGUCGAGUUAAAUUUACUUUAAUUUUGGUUAUUAAUAUUAACGUAGUAUUGUUAAUAAAUAAAGAAAACUUAGGGGUGAUAGGCCUAUCAAGUCUAGUGAUAUCUUGAUGUUUAGGAAAUAUAUAUAGUAUAUUCUCAAUAUAAAAAUGGUGAGGUUUUUAUAUACCACAAAUUAAGAUAUAAUAUACAAUGGCUGUAGUAAAAAACACCAUAUGUUCUUGAUUUAACAUUAUAUACUAAUCUAUUGUGUUAACUACUAAAUUAAUUACAAUAAUAGAUCUAUUACUAUAAAAAUGAAUGCAUUAGUAUUUGAUUAUAUAUUUCUAAGGAACUCGGCAAAAUAAUUCUCGACUGUUUAUCAAAAACAUAGCUUUAAGAAAGUAUUUAAAGUGUAACCUGCUCAAUGAUUUUUUAAAUAGCCGCAGUACCUUGACUGUGCAAAGGUAGCAUAAUCAGUUGGCUUAUAAUUGAAGUCUAGUAUGAAAGGGAUUUCGGGAAUUAACUGUCUUAAAAGUAUACCUAGAAUUUACUAAUUAAGUGAAAAUUCUUAUAUUAAUGAAAAAAGACGAGAAGACCCUAGAAAUUUUUUUUAACUUAGAAAAUAUAAUUUUGUUGGGGCGACAAGGUAACAGUAAACUUACCAUAAAUAAAUAUGGAACUAUUUAGUAGAAUAAAUAAAUUACUCUAGGGAUAACAGCAUAAUAAAAUAAAGAUUGUGACCUCGAUGUUGGACUAGGGAAUAUAAUAUUUAAAAGGUAUUAUAUGUGGCUCUGUUCGAGCUAUUUCCCCUACAUGAUCUGAGUUCAGACCGG
RNAcentral lists this ribosomal RNA (849 nucleotides) under Monacha syriaca. RNAcentral describes it as "partial 16S ribosomal RNA". The stretch from base 349 to 556 matches the Rfam family "Archaeal large subunit ribosomal RNA", at positions 1790 to 2109 of the family's 2987-position model. The record is from RNAcentral. Lineage: Eukaryota; Metazoa; Mollusca; Gastropoda; Stylommatophora; Hygromiidae.